Molecule: non-coding RNA, 216 nt
Organism: Pelobates cultripes (western spadefoot toad)
Lineage: Eukaryota; Metazoa; Chordata; Amphibia; Anura; Pelobatidae
Source: the annotation of a GenBank genome assembly
UUAGUUGUUCAUCCUUCUGCGUCCGAAUCCACACCUAUAAUCCUUAAUUGAGAUUUAGGAUGACAAGCAUGCAACUGGUUAAUGUGAACCCACUUUUCAAUAAAAUCACCAUCCUUAGGAAUUUUUAUCUUAUACGUUACGGGGAAAUUUUGUCAAUAAUGACAUAUGGCCCUUUCCAAGAAGGUAAAAAUGAAUUUUCCUUAACCCCUUAAGGAC